This 497-nucleotide ribosomal RNA is filed under the name uncultured bacterium. RNAcentral describes it as "partial 16S ribosomal RNA". It matches the Rfam family "Bacterial small subunit ribosomal RNA", at positions 28 to 507 of the family's 1533-position model. The record is from RNAcentral.
GAUGAACGCUGGCGGCGGGCCUAAUACAUGCAAGUCGAGCGGAAAGACGGGAAGCUUUCGCCCCUAAGGGUGGCGGGGGACGGGUGGGUAACGCGUGGAUAACCUUCUUAUUAUACUUGGGGGACAUCGUGAAACCGGAUCUAAUACCGGAUAAUAUGUUGAACGGCAUGGUGCAAUAGAGAAAGGGGGUUUUCGCGUCAGAUAUAGAUGGAUCCGCGUCGCAUUAGCUAGUUGGUAAGGUAACGGCUUACCAAGGCAACGAUGCGUAGCCGAGCUGAGAGGAUGAUCAGCCACACUGGAACUGAGACACGGUCCAGACUCCUACGGGAGGCAGCAGUAGGGAAUCUUCGACAAUGGGCGCAAGCCUGACCGAGCCACGCCGCGUGAGUGAUGAAGGCCUUCGGAUCGUAAAGCUCUGUUAUUGGGAAAGAAAAACUGCGUAAGUAACUCCGCCCGUCCUGACGGUACCUAAUCAGAAAGCAACGGCUAACUACGUG